AGGCCGAUGAUUACCAAAAUAUAACCAAAUGUUUGAGUGAUUGUUUGUGAGCAUUUGUCACUAUCGCUGAGGUCUU
This 76-nucleotide unclassified non-coding RNA is filed under the name Caenorhabditis briggsae. RNAcentral describes it as "Cb325 C/D snoRNA". Lineage: Eukaryota; Metazoa; Nematoda; Chromadorea; Rhabditida; Rhabditidae. The record is from RNAcentral.